Non-coding RNA from Electrophorus electricus (electric eel), 961 nucleotides. NCBI's taxonomy places the organism in Eukaryota, Metazoa, Chordata, Actinopteri, Gymnotiformes, Gymnotidae. The record is from RefSeq and is a predicted model, not a curated record.
AUAUUUUUGCGUAUGUGUAAAUACGACGGUCACUUUACAACAUUCACCUUUACCGCAGAGGCUAAAGUCCUAACUAGAACAAAUUUUAUUUUAUUUUUCAUUUUCAUGUCUCGUGUAAUCUUAAACUACUGUUUUUCCUCUCCAGGGAAGAGCAUCUUGAUUUUUUUUUUUUGUGUUAAAUUAACUAGAACAAAACUAGAACUAGAACUAUAAAUUAUUUUUCUGUCUUCAACUAAAAAGAGAAUUUACAUCAGACAACUUUAAAAAUUAAAAUGCCCAAAAUGAACGGUUAUAUCUAUAAUGAUCAGCGACAUGGGUGAGAUUUUUUCUUCAGCCAUGAAUGUGAACAGGAAAUAAAGCUCUUCUGUUAGCUCACAUACAUGAACAUUCAAGCGUAUACACAAAUAUUUCUUAGAAGUCUUGAGCAAGGGAACAUUUCGACAAGACGAUUUGCCACUUGUCAUCGGCAAGCCAGACACAACAGUGCACAGAGCCACACACUCUCACAAUGGUUCAGCCCACAAAGCCACACACAACUGAACAAUGUGACCAUCUCUAAAGGAGGCGGAAGGGAGUGGGGGUGAGGUCACGCACCUGCACCCUAAGAGCUUUCAAAGAGCUCAUGCAGAGGAAGAUGACCUGCUGGUAUCAGACACAAAAAACACACCCCCCAUGCUGUGACUGGUGCACUUAAACCCCUGUGGCUGGAGUUUUACACUCUUUGGCAAGUAUUACAACAGUGGGCUCAUUGAGCAAGAGCAGAGUGAGAGUAAAGACUGACAGAGUGGUGAAACUCCUGACUGUCUCACUUCACAUUGAUCCUUUCUGUCUAUUCAUAUCUGUUUAACCUUUUGAAAUGUAUAACUCAGUUGGAACAGAUACAAAUAUGUACAAGGUAUAAAUGAUGUUUUUUUUCCCCAUUAUGUGAUGUGUUGGUUUCUCUAUAUUAUUAUAAAUCAGC